This 2567-nucleotide ribosomal RNA is filed under the name secondary endosymbiont of Erium globosum. Its description in RNAcentral is "bacterial LSU rRNA". It matches the Rfam family "Bacterial large subunit ribosomal RNA", at positions 1 to 2581 of the family's 2925-position model. Lineage: Bacteria; Pseudomonadati; Pseudomonadota; Gammaproteobacteria; Enterobacterales; Enterobacteriaceae. The record is from RNAcentral.
GGUUAAGUGAAUAAGCGUACAUGGUGGAUGCCUAGGCAAUCAGAGGCUAUGAAGGACGUACUAAUCUGCGAAAAGCGCCGGUAAGCUGAUAUGAAGCGUUAUUAGCCGGUGAUAUCCGAAUGGGGUAACCCGAUGUAAUUUAAUACAUCAUCAUUAAGUAAAUUCAUAGCUUAAUGAAGCUAACCAGGAGAACUGAAACAUCUAAGUACCCUGAGGAAAAGAAAUCAACUGAGAUUCCCUUAGUAGUGGCGAGCGAAAAGGGAGCAGCCCAGAGCUAUAAACAACUUAUGUAUCAGGAGAACAUUCUGGAAGGUAUGGUAAUAAAGGGUGAUAGCCCCGUAUCCGAAGGUAUCUUUGUUGUGGGCUCAAUGAGUAAGACGGGACACGUGGUAUCCUGUCUGAAGAUGGGGGGACCAUCCUCCAAGGCUAAAUACUCCUGAUUGACCGAUAGUGAACAAGUACCGUGAGGGAAAGGUGAAAAGAACCCCGGUUAGGGGAGUGAAAUAGAACCUGAAACCGUGUACGUACAAGCAGUAGUAGCAUUUAUUUUUUGAAUGUGACUGCGUACCUUUUGUAUAAUGGGUCAGCGACUUAUAUUCUGUAGCAAGGUUAACUGUAUAAGGGAGCCGAAGGGAAACCGAGUCUUAACUGGGCGUUAAGUUGCAGGAUAUAGACCCGAAACCCGGUGAUCUAAUUAUGAGCAAGUUGAAGAUUAGGUAAUACUAAUUGGAGGACUGAACUGACUAAUGUUGAAAAAUUAGCGGAUGACUUGUGAUUAGGGGUGAAAGGCCAAUCAAACCGGGAGAUAGCUGGUUCUCCCCGAAAGCUAUUUAGGUAGCGCCUUGUGAAUUCAUCUUUGGGGGUAGAGCACUGUUUCGGUUAGGAAUUCAUCCAAGAUUACCAAUCCGAUGCAAACUACGAAUACCGAAGAAUGUUAUCACAGGAGACACACGGCGGGUGCUAACGUCCGUCGUGAAAAGGGAAACAACCCAGACCGCCAGCUAAGGUCCCAAAGUCAUAGUUAAGUGAUAGAACGAUGUGGGAAGGCUUAGACAGCCAGGAUGUUGGCUUAGAAGCAGCAAUCAUUUAAAGAAAGCGUAAUAGCUCACUGGUCGAGUCGUCUUGCGCGGAAGAUGUAACGGGGCUAAAUUAUGCACCGAAGCUGCGGCAAUAGAUAUGAUAUAUUUGUUGGGUAGGGGAGCGUUCUGUAAGCCUGUGAAGGUGUGCUGUAAGGCAUGCUGGAGGUAUCAGAAGUGCGAAUGCUGACAUGAGUAACGAUAAAGUAAGUGAAAAACUUACUCGCUGGAAGACCAAGGUUUCCUGUUCAACGUUAAUCGUAGCAGGGUUAGUCGAUCCCUAAGGCGAGGUCGAAAGGCGUAGUCGAUGGUAAACAGGUUAAUAUUCCUGUACUAGGUAUAAUUGCGAAGUGGGGACGGAGAAAGCUAGGUUCGCCGUGCGACGGUUGUCACGGUUUAAACGUGUAGGUGGAAAAAAUAGGAAAAUCCGUUUUUUUUAACACUGAGGCGUGAUGACGAAUUACUACGGUAAUGAAGGAAUUAAUGCUCUGCUUCCAAGAAAAGCCUCUAAGCAUCAGAUUAUAUCUAAUCGUACCCCAAACCGACACAGGUGGUCAGGUAGAGAAUACUAAGGCGCUUGAGAGAACUCGGGUGAAGGAACUAGGCAAAAUAAUGCCGUAACUUCGGGAGAAGGCACACUGGUAUGUAAGUUAAAGGACAUGCUCCUUAAGCUGAGACCAGUCGCAGAUACCAGCUGGCUGCAACUGUUUAUUAAAAACACAGCACUGUGCAAACACGAAAGUGGAAGUAUACAGUGUGACGCCUGCCCGGUGCCGGAAGGUUAAUUGAUAGAGUUAUCUAUAAAAAGAGAAGCUUUUGAUCGAAGCCCCGGUAAACGGCGGCCGUAACUAUAACGGUCCUAAGGUAGCGAAAUUCCUUGUCGGGUAAGUUCCGACCUGCACGAAUGGCGUAAUGAUGGCCAGACUGUCUCCACCCGAGACUCAGUGAAAUUGAAUUCGCCGUGAAGAUGCGGUGUACCCGCGGCAAGACGGAAAGACCCCGUGAACCUUUACUAUAACUUGAUACUGAAUAUUGAACAUUAAUGUGUAGCAUAGGUGGGAGACUAUGAAGUGUAGACGCUAGUUUACAUCGAGUCGAUCUUGAAAUACCACCCUUUAAGGUUUAGUGUUCUAACUUAGAUCCGUAAUCCGGAUUGAGGACAGUGUCUGGUGGGUAGUUUGACUGGGGCGGUCUCCUCCCAAAGAGUAACGGAGGAGCACUAAGGUUAGCUAAUCACGGUCGGACAUCGUGAGUUUAGUGUAAAGGCAUAAGCUAGCUUAACUGCAAGAGCGACGGCUCGAGCAGAUGCGAAAGCAGGUCUUAGUGAUCCGGUGGUUUCUAUAUGGAAAGGCCAUCGCUCAACGGAUAAAAGGUACUCCGGGGAUAACAGGCUAAUACCGCCCAAGAGCUCAUAUCGACGGCGGUGUUUGGCACCUCGAUGUCGGCUCAUCACAUCCUGGGGCUGAAGUAGGUCCCAAGGGUAUGGCUGUU